This is a long non-coding RNA of Musa acuminata AAA Group (dessert banana), 536 nucleotides long. RefSeq lists it as uncharacterized. The record is from RefSeq and is a predicted model, not a curated record. Lineage: Eukaryota; Viridiplantae; Streptophyta; Magnoliopsida; Zingiberales; Musaceae. The transcript is spliced from 2 exons.
CUUUGAUCCUCAUCCGCUGGUUUUAGUAGAUGGCCAGCAGAAGGCCCAGUGCCUCAGAUGAGGAGCUCAGAGAGCUCAUCGCUAGGCUCCAAUCCGGUCUUCCCGAGACACACCAUCGUAGCAGGAAAGGAGCUUCAGCUGCAUCGCUACUGAAGGAGACGUGCGAGUACAUUAAGAGCCUUCACCGGGACGUCGACGAACUCAGCGACCGCCUGUCGGAGCUGGUGGCAACCAUGGACGUGAACGGCGCACAGGCCGAGAUCCUGCGGAGCCUCUUCCGUUCCUGACCACCUUCUGCUUCAUCUUCUCAGCUCGGCAGAGAACGGCAUCGCCAUACAUGUAGAAUGCACCUUAAGCCAUAUCAGAUCUAACGACUGUAGGUAGUAUUUGCUUCUAUUUUCGUACACUACAUUCACUGUGAGGUCCGGCUCGAGUUGCUUCAUCUAUAGAAGACCCGAGCGGCCACUACUUCGAACGGACAUUCAUGUACGCCAUGCGGCUUCUACUUGGUCUCCAUAUAUAGUUUAUUCUUUCCA